This 513-nucleotide ribosomal RNA is filed under the name uncultured bacterium. Its description in RNAcentral is "bacterial SSU rRNA". It matches the Rfam family "Bacterial small subunit ribosomal RNA", at positions 100 to 599 of the family's 1533-position model. The record is from RNAcentral.
GAACGGGUGAGUAAUACAUAAGUAACCUGCCCUAGACAGGGGGAUAACUAUUGGAAACGAUAGCUAAGACCGCAUAGGUACGGACACUGCAUGGUGACCGUAUUAAAAGUGCCUCAAAGCACUGGUAGAGGAUGGACUUAUGGCGCAUUAGCUGGUUGGCGGGGUAACGGCCCACCAAGGCGACGAUGCGUAGCCGACCUGAGAGGGUGACCGGCCACACUGGGACUGAGACACGGCCCAGACUCCUACGGGAGGCAGCAGUAGGGAAUUUUCGGCAAUGGGGGAAACCCUGACCGAGCAACGCCGCGUGAAGGAAGAAGGUUUUCGGAUUGUAAACUUCUGUUAUAAAGGAAGAACGGCGGCUACAGGAAAUGGUAGCCGAGUGACGGUACUUUAUUAGAAAGCCACGGCUAACUACGUGCCAGCAGCCGCGGUAAUACGUAGGUGGCAAGCGUUAUCCGGAAUUAUUGGGCGUAAAGAGGGAGCAGGCGGCAGCAAGGGUCUGUGGUGAAA